UCACGGUUUGCACCGGCAGUCUUGUUAGAGUUCCCGACAUUACUCGCUGGCAACUAACAACAGGGGUUGCGCUCGUUAUAGGACUUAACCUGACACCUCACGGCACGAGCUGACGACAACCAUGCAGCACCUUGUAAUCUGCCCGAAGGAAAAUCUGUUUCCAGAUCUGUCAGACUACAUUCAAGCCCUGGUAAGGUUCCUCGCGUAUCAUCGAAUUAAACCACAUGCUCCACCGCUUGUGCGGGCCCCCGUCAAUUCCUUUGAGUUUCAUUCUUGCGAACGUACUCCCCAGGCGGGGUACUUAAUGCGUUAGCUACGGCACGGAUCCCAAGGAAGGAAACCCACACCUAGUACCCACCGUUUACGGCGUGGACUAC
RNAcentral lists this unclassified non-coding RNA (377 nucleotides) under uncultured Flavobacteriaceae bacterium. RNAcentral describes it as "contains 16S-23S intergenic spacer region". Lineage: Bacteria; Pseudomonadati; Bacteroidota; Flavobacteriia; Flavobacteriales; Flavobacteriaceae. The record is from RNAcentral.